UUGAAAGUACCAACUGGUACACUGAGAGAUGGACCCGCGUUGUAUUAGCUAGUUGGUAGUGUAAUGGACUACCAAGGCGAUGAUACAUAGCCGACCUGAGAGGGUGAUCGGCCACAUUGGGACUGAGACACGGCCCAAACUCCUACGGGAGGCAGCAGUAGGGAAUCUUCGGCAAUGGACGAAAGUCUGACCGAGCAACGCCGCGUGAGUGAAGAAGGUUUUCGGAUCGUAAAACUCUGUUGUUAGAGAAGAAUGUUGCAUAGAGUGGAAAAUUAUGCAAGUGACGGUAUCUAACCAGAAAGGGACGGCUAACUACGUGCCAGCAGCCGCGGUAAUACGUAGGUCCCGAGCGUUGUCCGGAUUUAUUGGGCGUAAAGCGAGCGCAGGUGGUUUAAUAAGUCUGAUGUAAAAGGCAGUGGCUCAACCAUUGUGUGCAUUGGAAACUGUUAGACUUGAGUGCAGUAGAGGAGAGUGGAAUUCCAUGUGUAGCGGUGAAAUGCGUAGAUAUAUGGAGGAACACCGGUGGCGAAAGCGGCUCUCUGGACUGUCACUGACACUGAGGCUCGAAAGCGUGGGUAGCAAACAGGAUUAGAUACCCUGGUAGUCCACGCCGUAAACGAUGAGUGCUAGUUGUUUGGGGCUAUCCAGCCCUAAGUGACGCAGCAAACGCAUUAAGCACUCCGCCUGGGGAGUACGACCGCAAGGUUGAAACUCAAAGGAAUUGACGGGGGCCCGCACAAGCGGUGGAGCAUGUGGUUUAAUUCGAAGCAACGCGAAGAACCUUACCAGGUCUUGACAUACUCGUGCUAUUCCUAGAGAUAGGAAGUUCCUUCGGGACACGGGAUACAGGUGGUGCAUGGUUGUCGUCAGCUCGUGUCGUGAGAUGUUGGGUUAAGUCCCGCAACGAGCGCAACCCCUAUUGUUAGUUGCCAUCAUUAAGUUGGGCACUCUAGCGAGACUGCCGGUAAUAAACCGGAGGAAGGUGGGGAUGACGUCAAAUCAUCAUGCCCCUUAUGACCUGGGCUACACACGUGCUACAAUGGUUGGUACAACGAGUCGCAAGGCAGUGAUGUCAA
This 1076-nucleotide ribosomal RNA is filed under the name uncultured Lactococcus sp. Its description in RNAcentral is "bacterial SSU rRNA". It matches the Rfam family "Bacterial small subunit ribosomal RNA", at positions 200 to 1266 of the family's 1533-position model. The record is from RNAcentral. Lineage: Bacteria; Bacillati; Bacillota; Bacilli; Lactobacillales; Streptococcaceae.